GUUCGCUCCGGUUACUAUUUUUCACGUUUUUUAAGCGCGAAUAAUGUUUAAAUUUAAAAUCAAAUUCGAGAAAAGGGUGUGGCCCGUUAUGAUCUUCGAUGACGUCCUAGAGAAACGUGCAAAAACAACGAAAAAGGGUGACGCGUUGCGGAAAUCAAGUACCGACCCCAACACGGCGUUCUUAAGGGCAGCUCGAGCAGGGCAGCUAGACAAAAUACAAGAGUAUUUGGAUUCAGGGACAGUUCGCGACAUCAACACAUCAAAUGCCAACGGUUUGAAUGCCCUCCAUCUCGCCGCCAAAGAUGGCCACGUCGAAAUCGCUAGGGAAUUGCUCAGAAGGGGUGCGAUCGUCGACGCCGCCACCAAAAAGGGUAACACGUCACUCCACAUUGCAUCGCUCGCCGGACAGGAGGAGGUGGUUCGGUUGCUGGUGCAAAACGGAGCAUCGCUCAACGUCCAGUCUCAAAACGGGUUCACGCCCCUGUAUAUGGCCGCCCAGGAGAACCACGACACUGUCGUACGGUACCUCUUGUCCAAGGGUGCCAACCAGACGCUCGCCACAGAGGACGGUUUCACCCCGUUGGCGGUUGCGAUGCAACAAGGUCACGACAAGGUCGUCGCAGUGCUUCUGGAAAACGACACGCGGGGCAAAGUGCGGUUACCCGCUCUUCACAUAGCCGCCAAAAAGGACGACGUCAAAGCCGCGGCCCUCCUGCUCCAGAACGACCAUAACCCAGACGUCACAUCCAAGAGCGGGUUCACGCCCCUCCACAUCGCCGCCCACUACGGCAACGAUAAGGUCGCCUCAUUGCUCUAUGAGAAAGGUGCAAACGUUAAUUACACCGCGAAACACAACAUCACACCGCUCCACGUGGCGAGCAAAUGGGGCAAGAUAAAUAUGGUGACGCUACUGGUGGCGAAAGGGGCCGAUAUUCAAGCGAAAACGAGGGACGGCUUGACGCCCCUUCAUUGCGCUGCUCGCAGCGGACACGAUCAGGUGGUCGAUAUGCUGCUUGAAAACGGGGCACCCAUUCACGCCAAAACAAAGAAUGGAUUGGCGCCGUUGCACAUGGCGGCCCAAGGCGAGCACGUAGACGCCGCCCGGAUACUCCUCUACCACGGCGCUCCAGUAGACGAGGUCACCGUCGACUACUUGACCGCGCUCCACGUGGCCGCUCAUUGCGGCCACGUGCGAGUAGCCAAGCUUCUUUUGGAGAGGGGGGCGGACGUUAAUGCUCGCGCACUUAAUGGCUUCACACCGUUACACAUAGCGUGCAAAAAGAACCGCCUGAAGAUGGUGGAGUUGUUGAUCAAGCACGGCGCCAGCAUCGGCGCAACGACUGAAAGCGGUCUCACACCUCUUCACGUGGCCAGUUUUAUGGGGUGCAUGAACAUCGUCAUCUAUUUGCUCCAGCACGACGCCAGCCCGGACAUACCCACGGUCCGCGGUGAAACUCCGCUCCAUUUGGCAGCGAGAGCGAACCAGACUGAUAUUAUAAGAAUACUCCUUCGAAAUGGCGCUUCGGUGGACGCGAAAGCGCGGGAAGAGCAGACGCCCCUCCACGUCGCCUCACGGCUGGGAAACGUCGACAUCGUGAUGCUGCUCCUGCAGCACGGCGCCCAGCCUCAGGCCACGACCAAAGACCUUUACACGCCCCUCCACAUCGCCGCCAAAGAGGGACAAGAGGAGGUAGCUUCUGUAUUAUUGGACAACGGCGCAGACCUUACCGCCACCACCAAAAAGGGUUUCACGCCCCUCCACUUGGCCGCUAAAUACGGGCAUCUCAACGUUGCGCGGUUGCUGUUGCAACGGGACGCGCCGGCCAACGCGCAAGGCAAAAACGGCGUGACUCCCCUCCACGUCGCCGCUCAUUACGACCAUCAGCCGGUGGCGUUGUUGCUGCUCGAUAAAGGGGCGUCGCCGCACGCGGCCGCCAAAAACGGGCACACCCCUUUGCAUAUCGCCGCUCGCAAGAACCAGAUGGACAUUGCGACUACCCUGUUGGAGUACGGGGCUCAAGCCGACGCCGAAUCGAAGGCAGGCUUCACGCCACUUCACUUAGGCGCGCAGGAGGGCCACUCGGACAUGUGUUCGUUGCUGCUCGAGCAUCAGGCGGCUGCCAAUCACGCGGCAAAGAACGGUCUCACUCCGCUCCAUUUGUGCGCCCAAGAAGACCAAUCGGCCGUUGCUCAGCUGCUUCUGAGAGGGGGUGCUCAGAAGAACGCGCAAACGAAAAGCGGCUACACGCCACUGCACAUAGCCUGCCACCACGGCCACGUCAAUAUGGUGCGUUUGCUUAUAGAACAUGGCGCCGAAAUUAAUCCGGCUACUGGCGAAGGGUACACACCGCUGCACCAGGCCGCCCAGCAAGGUCACGUGCUCAUUAUCAAUCUGCUACUGAGGAACAAAGCCGAUCCGAACGCGGUCGCAAACAACGGGCAAACCGCAUUGGGGAUCGCCAACAAACUCGGCUACAUCAGCGUGGUGGAAGAGCUGAAGGUGGUUACCGAGCUCACGGUGAAUACGACCAACACCGUGACCGUCGAGGAGAAGUAUAAAGUGGUGGCGCCAGAAGCGAUGCACGAGACCUUUAUGUCUGACUCGGAGGACGAAGGAGGCGGAGCUGAUGAACCGCCGGUGGCUUACGGCCGGCCGACGCAUGCGCAACACGUCUAUCUGCCUUUCUACCAGGGACAAAUGACAUACACACGUGACGAUCCGCUCCAAGGAGACCAGCAGCAGUACAAAUACAUGACGGUCGACGACAUGAAGAGCCUGGGCGACGACUCCAUGCGCAUGGACGUCACGCACGACGAGAAGAGCGAACACAACAGGCACUCGAUGGCGACGUCGCAUGUGAGCAACGAGUUGAUAAUCGUGCCGAUCCACCAAGCCAAAGACUACAGCUCGGCGCCUGACAACGUGGACAUCAACAGACAGCCCGUGACGGCCGGCUUGUACGCUGCGGAGUCGUUGCGCCUAGAACAAACUCUGAACCGUUUGUGCCCGCGGAGCCGAAGGAGCGGCCUAUGCAGAGAAAGUAUCCCCAGUUGGAAAAAUUUCCUGGUGUCGUUCCUGGUCGACGCGAGAGGAGGCGCGAUGCGCGGUUGCCGUCACUCGGGGGUGCGCGUCAUCGUGCCGCCGAGAUGCGCGGCUAGUCCCACUCGUAUCACGUGCCGUUACGUGCGGCCCCAGCGUCAACCGCAUCCGCCGCCGCUUAUGGAAGGCGAAGCCUUAGCCAGCAGGCUGCUCGAACUUGGACCCGUCGGUGCAAAAUUUUUGGGGCCGGUGAUCAUAGAAGUACCCCAUUUCGCAUCGCUGCGUGGAAAGCAGCGCGAGAUUAUAGUGCUACGUUCGGACAAUGGCGAAACAUGGAAAGAGCACACCCUGGAGGCGAACGAGGAGGCGAUCCAGGACGUUCUGAAUCACAGUUUCGACGGCGAAGAGCUAAACCAACUGGAAGAUUUGCACACGAGCCGCAUCACCAGAAUACUGACCAACGACUUCCCUCACUACUUCGCGGUGGUCUCCAGGAUUCGGCAGGAAGUGCACGCGAUCGGGCCCGACGGCGGUACCGUCUCCAGUACUGCGGUACCUUUGGUUCAGGCCGUGUUCCCGCCGAACGCGUUAACCAAAAAAAUUCGGGUUGGUUUGCAGGCUCAGGGUAUCGAACCGGAAAUCGUGUCCAAACUCCUAGGCCACGGAGUGGCGGUGUCCCCUAUCGUGACGGUGGAACCGAGACGCAGGAAGUUCCACAAGGCGAUCAUGUUGAGCAUGCCGGCACCGAAGGCCCACUCGCAGGGAAUGAUCAAUCAGUACCAGGGCGUUUCCAGCACCACUUUGCGGUUGCUGUGCUCCAUUACGGGGGGCCAAAGUAAAGCCGUGUGGGAGGACGUCACGGGGUCCACGCCCCUCACGUUCGUCAAGGAUUGCGUUUCUUUCACGACCACCGUGUCGGCCCGUUUCUGGCUGAUGGACUGUAGGAACGUCGGCGACGCCGCCAAAAUGGCGACCGAACUGUACAACCAGGCGGCGCACGUGCCGUUUAUGGCCAAGUUUGUCGUAUUCGCGAAACGGAUCAGUCCAUUCGAGGCCCGCGUCAGGGUGUUUUGUAUGACGGACGACAAGGAGGAUAAAACGUUGGAGCACCAAGAGCACUUUGUCGAAAUCGCCAAGAGUAGGGAUAUUGAGGUUCUUGAAGGCAAAGACGUGUUCAUGGAGUUCGCCGGCAACUUGGUGCCCGUGCUGCAGUCCAACGACCAACCGACGUUAGGCUUUAAAGCGUUCAAAGAGAACAGAUGCGCGUUCAUUAUGAGACUCAGGGAUCAUGACGAAGAGCCCGCGGGAAGGAUCGUUUUCAUGGCGGAUCCGAAAGUGGGACGUGCUGGCUGGGUUCCGAGUCAGCCUCUGUGCACGUUGAAUCUGACAUUGCCCAAAGACCUGUUGCCCGAUCGCGACUCUCAAUCCGAUCUCUUAUCUCUAAACAAAGACUUUAGUUAUCUGCAGCAUGGCGGCAUCAGUAAACCGGACACUAUACACCGCGCGGAUCUGAGACUGUCCGACAUUUGUAAUUUGCUCGACGACGACUGGGAAAAAUUGGCUCUGGAGCUCGACGUGCCGCCCUCCGACGUCGAUAUCAUUAAAGAGGAGAGUACGGCCAAUCAUCCUCAGCGGGCGAUGAUCAUGUUCCGCCUUUGGCUACGUCAGAAGGCCAACAAAGCCACAGGUAAUAAACUGGAACUAGCGCUGAACAAAAUCGGCCGCCAAGAUAUAGUCGACAAGUGCUUGUGCAACGUGGAGCUAGUGACGGACGAUAUGGAAAAGGCGCUGGCUAAAAUCCACCUCGAUCAAUCGGGAUUUGAUAAUCUCAAGGAGGAACUGGGUCCGUCGCGGGACACCUCGUUGAGGCGGGACGCGCAUUUAGACAACUCUUAUUUGGAAAGCGACAACGAUAAAAGCGAACUAGACUUAAACAAGAACAGGGAGCCGACGCGCGCCGACGAAAUCCUUGACAACCAGUCCAGGCUUAACGGAAACGCGAACGAGGAGGAGAGGGCGCUGGUAGAAAUAACGCAGCGACUGAACACAUUGGCGACGAACGCUGACCGCGUGAACAGUUUCGGCGACACGCCUCCUCCCAGCCCGACGGGCCCGGGCAACGAUAACGAACAGCCGCUGGCCGAAAUAGAACGACCCAAAGGAAACUCUGGCGGUGGAGGAGAGGUCUUCGCUUCUACUCCCUUAAAGAGCAGGGAGAUCCAGCCGACCGCGGAGCGUAUCGAAAAUCUGAAGCGAAACAUCAACGACACGUUGACGUUUCUGCAUCAGGAGCGUAACGAUUUUCUCUCCGAGGACGACGUCAUAAUACCGAAGCGCAAAGACGAUCACAUCGCUAAGGAAAUCGACCUCGAGUACAUAAACCUGAAAACGCCAAAGAGAAACGUCGAAUUUAAUUUCGACGCGGUGGCGCCCCCUAGCCCGGAAAAAUCGAAAAUUAGAUUCGAGGGGGACGUCGAUCUCGAGCGAGAGUCCCCGCCCAGCACCGAGUACGACGAUUCCUUUAGGGACACGGUCGAAGAAGAGGUCGAUCGGGUGAUUAAAAAGGCGGAGGACGUGGUGAACGCGCGGAUCGAUGUCGACAGCGUCGGCGACGAACCCAAAACUAACACCGAGGAUUCGCUCGAUAAUUUGGAGUCGCUGAAGGACGAUUCGAUUUCGAUAAUUCAGGAGAAAAGCGAGGAAGCCUUUCGGUUCCUGGACAAGGAGGCGUCCAGCCCCUUGACGCUGCGCCCGAGUUUGGAGGAGACGUUGGCCAGGGCAGACGCGGAGGAUCGGAAAGGCGAAUUCGAGACUACCGCGGCGUUUUUAAAGGGGGAGGUCGAGCAUGCGCGGCGAGUCGUUGACGACGAUUCGAGCAGGUCCGAGGAGUCGUGGUCGCCUAAAAGUCCGAGGAGUUCGAUUCCGGUAGCCAAGGCCCGGAAGGGCAAGGACAAGAAGAAGAAGCAAGAGAAACCGCAGGACUCUGAGGAACCGACGCCCCGCGCGCGGGAUCGUAAAUCUCCAGUCGACGACGACGGCGACGACGACGAAGACGAAGAUGUUCUGAAGAAAAUACCGGUGGUAAAGGGCGGAACCAAAGUGAAAACGAUAAAAAAGCACUCGAAAGACCCUCUCAAAGAGUUCGUCAACAUUUCCAAGGACGUGAACUGGGACGAGGACGACGACGAGACGGUGACGACGAAAAUCAUAAAGACGGUCACAGCCGAUCCGAUUGUUAAGACGACGGUGACGCGCAUCUCGAGCGACGCACUUCCCGAACACAUCAAAAGUAAAAUACCGAAAUUGUCGUCGGCGCCGUCGCCACACAAGGAACUCGACUGCGCCGACGACGGCGCUAUCCACAAAAGUAAAAUUCCGGUACUGAAGACCGAGAGCGUUCUGAUAACGUCGCCGACAGAGGCGCUUGUAUCGCCCACUUCCCGGACGUCGAACAAGAGUAGCUUGUUGGAUUCAGAUUCGGAGGAGGAUAGCAGGAGGAGUUCGCCCCCCUUAAAGGGGAUCCUGAAGAAGACGUCGGCGCCGGCGCCGACUAAAACGGUCGGCAGUUCGAGUGGUUCAGACGUCGCUCUCCACGAGGAGGGCGCGGAGCUGAGCUCAGAUUCAGAUGCUAGAGAAUUAAUGCAUUAAUAUACAGUCCUGCUCUUUAUCCUGUGUUACUCACGAAUUAACCAUAUUAAAUUGACAUUAACUUACCAAAUUCUAACUUACUGACCGCGUACACCUAGUUUAAAACCACUAACUUUCUAAAUCUUAUCGAAUUUCGACCAAAGUAGUUACUAUUACUCUCCAUGCGCAGACGACGUGUAACUUAAUGUUAAUUUGGAUGGUUGCGUUUAUCGAUUUACCAGCGACUUACGAUGCAUUUUUAACCGAAAGUUGAUCGACCGGCCGAAAAAAACUACUUAGGCAGCUCCUGGCAUGUCCUUUAUCCCAUAGUGUGGUCGUUAAUAGCAUUGGCAACAAGCAUGAUCGUGUUGGCACUGCUCGCACAAUAUUGACUCACGGUAUGCAAUCUGCGCAAUGUUUUUAUUUAUUUACACACUUAUGCGGACAGAUCAGACACACAUAUACACAACUACACGCCAUUUUGACGAUUUGCAUGAUACCCAAGCCAAGAAGAUUGUUAUCUUUAAAAAAAAAUUACGAACCCACGGACCCGAUUAGUAGUGAUCUUUGAUCCAGAUCGCUAAUUACUAGUGACCCCUCUCCUUUUUUAAGCCCCGCUCUCUUUUAAACUCUGUUCAACCGAAGUAAUUCCUACCAUGAGAGAAUGAAUCUGGUGCAGGACUUCCCGGUUGUACGAGAUGUUUGAAAACCAAAUAUAUUUGAAUAAAUUUAGAACGUUGAUUAUAUUAUGCCAGCCUAGCAUUGAGAGCGGCUGUGUAUGUCCAACAUCCUGUUUAAUUUAUAAUUAUUUGUUUUCGGUUUUUUAAUUUUAUUUUUUGACUUUUGAUUUUUCCCGUUUUUUUCAGUGAUUUUGCACCAUUAUUAUAGUUUAUGUAAGUAAACAUGUAGGUGUGACGUCGUCCUCUUGGCGGACGCGUUGCGUCCUCGAUCAGUUUUCACUUUGAAGAUUUUACGCACAGAUUAAAAGCGGCUAUAUUAAAAUGAGGCAUGAAAAUUGAAUUCAAAAUCGCUUAGUAAUUAAUUUUGGUAGUUGACCAGGAUACUAAACACGUAACACCUCUACCACCGCAUUCGAACGAUCUGUAUGCAAAGAACGCGGUGUUCAUUUUCCUCUUCUACGGCUUUGCGUUGUUCUUUGUCUAUUUGUUUUUCAUUAUUAGCUGCUUUUUAAGCUUCCCGUAGUUCUUUUCGUACAGACUAAGUCGUGGGGCGGCGAAAACAUCCGAGUUAGCCGAAAAACGCUGCAUGUUAUCCCCUUUCCGUGACUAACAGUUUAAUUUUGAAACGAUUUCGAAUGUUUUUCACCUAAUUCGGAUUCGCCCCAGCUUACGGGACGCGAGCCCAUUUAGUUCAGUCCGGUUUUUCACGCUUUCCAGAAGAUUUUUACCAUCAGGAACCACAGUUCACCGAGAUGACGUUCGAAGAAAUCGACCCUGCCACCGGAAACAAGGUAACGAAGACGGUGCGAACGCUGGUGUCUCACUCUCUGGCGUCGCCGGUCUACAAUGAAUCGGAACUUCGCCAG
RNA transcript from Cylas formicarius (sweet potato weevil), 8213 nucleotides. It is a transcript of the gene named ankyrin-3-like, with no coding region annotated. The record is from RefSeq and is a predicted model, not a curated record. The transcript has 31 exons. NCBI's taxonomy places the organism in Eukaryota, Metazoa, Arthropoda, Insecta, Coleoptera, Brentidae.